Molecule: ribosomal RNA, 517 nt
Filed under: uncultured Staphylococcus sp.
Lineage: Bacteria; Bacillati; Bacillota; Bacilli; Caryophanales; Staphylococcaceae
Description: partial 16S ribosomal RNA
Source: RNAcentral
CACGUAGUUGGCCGUGGCUUUCUGAUUAGGUACCGUCAAGAUGUGCACAGUUACUUACACAUUUGUUCUUCCCUAAUAACAGAGUUUUACGAGCCGAAACCCUUCAUCACUCACGCGGCGUUGCUCCGUCAGGCUUUCGCCCAUUGCGGAAGAUUCCCUACUGCUGCCUCCCGUAGGAGUCUGGACCGUGUCUCAGUUCCAGUGUGGCCGAUCACCCUCUCAGGUCGGCUACGUAUCGUCGCCUUGGUAAGCCGUUACCUUACCAACUAGCUAAUACGGCGCGGGUCCAUCUAUAAGUGAUAGCAAAACCAUCUUUCACUUUAGAACCAUGCGGUUCUAAAUGUUAUCCGGUAUUAGCUCCGGUUUCCCGAAGUUAUCCCAGUCUUAUAGGUAGGUUACCCACGUGUUACUCACCCGUCCGCCGCUAACUUCAAAGGAGCAAGCUCCUUAUCUGUUCGCUCGACUUGCAUGUAUUAGGCACGCCGCCAGCGUUCAUCCUGAGCCAGGAUCAAACUCU